RNAcentral lists this long non-coding RNA (5681 nucleotides) under Hordeum vulgare. Its description in RNAcentral is "long non-coding RNA (HVUL_LNC018295)". The record is from RNAcentral. Lineage: Eukaryota; Viridiplantae; Streptophyta; Magnoliopsida; Poales; Poaceae.
CUCAGAUCCCCCCAUCGCACCCCUCCUCUCCUCCCUCGUCCCCAUCUCCUCGCCGCCGCCGGCACCUCCUCCCCGUCCCCGCCUCCCUCCCGAUCCCCACAUCCUCCCUGUCAUACCCCAUUCCAAUCUCCCCAGUCCACAGCCGCCCCAAACCCCCAUCCCUCCCUCCCUCCCUCGUUCCCAGAUCCGAACCCUCCUCGAGAACCCUAGCCAGCCCAUGCCGCCGCCAAGCUCGCGGCCCUCGGCCGCCACGCCGUCGCGGGGUUCCUCCGCCAAGGCCACGCCCGAGGCCGACCAGGAGGCCUCGAUCACCAAGCGCCCCCGCAAGGGCACCUCCUCCGGCAAGAAGAAGCCAGCGCCCAAGGCCGCCAAGAAGCAGCAGAAGGCCUUCAAGGCGCCGCGGGAGAAGAAGGAGAAGGGGUAGGAGAACCCGGUAGCGGAGGACGUGGUGUGCAGGGAGGAGCCCGACGAGGAAGAGCUGGCGCUCGGGGAGGAGGACCAGAUGGCCGCCUCCGGGGAGCAGCAGCAGGAGACGGCGGCGGCGGCCAAGAGGCGUGUGGCGCAGGCGACCAAGAAGGCCCGGAACGUGGCCGCCGGCGACAGGGAGCCCGAGUUCCUCGACGAGCUCGUCCCCGCCGACGAGGCCUGCGACAAGUGGCCGCAGCGCUACCAGCGCGGCUCCUCCCAAGUGGUGCGUCCCGGAUCUCAUCUCUUUCAUGCUUUUCCGUUAGGCCGGUUGGUUGCUUACGAAGAUUACGGGGAGAGAGGAGACUGGAUCCGUGAUUAACAGGGAAUUAAGGGAAUGGAUCCUGACCGACACCAAGUUCUCAAAACAAAACGGUUGUUUUCGGCACUUUGCAAUGCCAUCUCGCUUUGUUACUCCUAGACUCCAUGUUGCGAAAUCAUUUCAGUUAGUUCCAUCGCUCCAGCACAUACCAGUCAUUACAGCUUAGUUCUUGAUCGCUGCAGCGUAUACACCAAACUUAGUUCGUCGCCGUGAAAUACAGUUGCCAAAUUAGUUCAAGGAGCUUUGUAAAAUUUUCUGAGAUUUUUGACAGGAGAGAAGAAUCAUGUAUGCUGGCGUUUGAUCAUAGCGAGAUCUUGACAGAUGUAGGUCACAGCUCACAUGUAUUUUUUGGUCCUAAUGAUUCUCUGAUCCCUUUUUGUUUUUGCUGGUCUUAUCGAUCACAGUUUCGCGUGUUUCUCUUAACUGAAAAAAAGGAUCAUCUCAGAUCAGCUUAUCUCUUCGGAUUUUGGUAAUAAAAUGGUAAAUUCAUGAAGAUGGUCAGAGAAGAUUAGCGUGGUUUUUCUGUGCAAAAUAUCGCAUUUCGCUUGGCUAAAUUUUCAUAGCUCGUCUCAGUUCUGCUUGCAUUGUGCACUGCUUCGCUUAGAAACGCACCUGUCUUGGGACAGUUGAGGCGAACAUCUCCAUGAUCAAAAGCCGUUGAUGACACACCCACGUUGAACUAGCACCUGCAAGAGCUAGUAGCAGCUUAGUACAUGCAUGAUCAGCCUACGGUUCCAUGACCAUAAGCCUGCACUGACACUACGGCCGAGUAGAUCAGUUUCACAAAAAGUUGAGUGGCGCACACUAGUGAGUGAGCCAGCUAUUAUACAUCAGAAACGUAGUCCUUUUGGAUUUUCUUAUUUUCCAGGGUAAAAUCAUACUCCCUUUGUUGCUAAAUAUAAGUCUUUUAACAGAUUUCACUAGCGGUCUACAUACGGAGCAAAAUGAAUAAAUCUAUACUCUAAAAUAUGCUAUGUACAUACGUAUAUAGUCCACUAGUGGAACCUUUAGAAAGACUUAUAUUUAGAAACGGAGGGAGUGGAUGGAAUCCACGGUAGGGUUAAGAACACCAGUGACACCAAUCCACGGUAGGAGUACGUACAGCUAGCUAAGCUAAGCUAGCUAUGGCUGGAAAUGUGGAGAGUGCUAGAUAGUGGAGGUGGUAGGCAUGCGAUUCCUGCUUUUUAACCUGUUGAUUAUAGUAGAUGAGUAGCACUGUGUGCCCUACGCAAGCUAAACUAGAAGCUAGCUAGAGCCUCCCUUGCUGCUUUUUUAACGGGCAAGCUUGUUGAUUCCUGCUUGAUUGACAGCAAUUUUGUGUAUAUCAACAACCGGUCCUAAACUACCAUUUUCAUCUACCAGUGGGGUGAUUCCCGCUCAACAUCCUCAUGUACGCACGCCCUUCUUCUAAUCCCAUGGCUCCACUGUCAUUGUUUGUCAGGUUCAGGUUCAGUUAGGAAAGGGGUUAACAAGUUGGCAGGUAACUCCUUUUCAUCAAUGAGAGACGAGAGAAGCAAGGCCAAGGGAAGGUAAGCUUAAUACAGUUUUGGGUUCAGUUUGUCGCUCUGAAUCUUCAAUACAGAACCAGAGAACCUGACUCUUCCCCUUGAUUGUCGUACGUGUCGUUCUUUCGGGUACCCAUUACCCAACCCACCAUCUAGUCUAGCUAAUGCAGUAACUCUCUAAGCUGAACCUCCCCGCAAGAUUAGCUUACCAUCCGGUGCCAUGUCAUUUCCUGUAAUCUCAACUGAAGAACAAUGCAUCACUCGGCCUUAUUUUAUACUUCUACUAGUGAUUGUUCCAUGGAAUAAAAGCUUAAGCAAUACACCUGCAGGUUUUCUUAGGGUGAGUUCAAUCAGGUUCCCAUCUGACUCUGAGUAGUGGGUACUGACAGUGCUGCCUCUGUUGCUAAGCAGGUUCGCCUCCCUUGCUGGUUAUACCAGUGCUUAAGUCGUCAUCCUUUAUGGAUCAAUCAUAGGGAGCUCUGUGUCUUGUUAGUAUGUUGUCUUUGUUCUUUGUUCAGACUAACAGUGGGAUGCAAUUUUCUUGUCACUGUUUGAACAUCGCAUAUGCAUAUUUUUUACCAAAGCCUAUGCCUUGCAGGUGUUUUCACCGAGUUGAUUCAGGAGAUGCAAGUAAAAGGUGUACAGGUUAGCUUUGUCAUGCAAUGGUGUAAUUUAGCUAUACAACCUGUUAUCAGUUAGUUUUGAUAUUUAGUCAUGCAAUGGUGUAAAAUACUUGGUUGGAAUUGCUUGUUGAACUGUGCAGUUUAAGAAUAGACAUUUGUCUCCAUUUUUUCCUUCACGUGUUAGCUUUGUCAUAAGUCAAACUUCCUGAAGUUUAACCUGGUUUAUAAAAAAACAUGAGCAUUUACAAUACCAAAUCAAUACAUCUAGUGCCAUGGUGUAAAAUAUGUUCAUACUGUAAUUAUUUGAUGUAAUUUGUUUAUCUCCUACGUAAUUUGUUUGCCCUCCUCACGAGCGCUCCUCCCAAUUUCGUUUCUUUUUUCUUCUACUUCUUCUUGGUCUUCUUUUGCUUUUCUUUUCUAAACUCCCCCGCCCUCACGUAAUCUUUUGGGAAAAGGAAAAGGGAAUAAAUUUAAUGUGUGGGGAGGAUUAAAAAUGGGCAGGUAAGUGAGGCACGUCAGGGCCGCAUUUGUAAGGGUGUGCAUUAUUUGACCCCAGAGCUGGGCACUUAUUAUAUUUACUUUGUGACCUCCUCUGCUUUUGGCUUUAUCCAUCCUCUAUGUGUGUAUUUUUUUUUGCUCUUUUGCUGUUGUCUUUUUUUUCACUGUGCACAUGGACCUAACGCAAAGUCGUUCCCCUCCCUACCACCACAUGCCAACUGUCUAGCAAAGCAAAAAUAAAUUAGCUAUGGCAUGCAUUGCUUUGACCAGAGCGGCAUGUGUUUAAAAAAACCUCACCAAGUUCAUAUGUUAGCACCACAUCAAUACGUUUUUAAAAGAUUUCAACUAAUUUAAUAUUUUUAAUGAGAUUUGACCAGAAGCAAUUGUCUUAAAAACAUAUCCAAACAUAAUUGGAUUUUCUUUGACACGUUUUGACAAGAUUAACAUAUUUCAAAGGAAUUAUACUGUUUUCAAUGGAUCUUUUCCCCACUAAAUUAUACUCCCUCCGUUCCAAAAUAACUGUCUCAACUUUAUACUAUAUCUAGUAUAAAUUUAUACUAAGCUUAGGACAGUUAUUUUGGGACGGAGGGAGUACUAGAAAAUGGGCUGGACCCUGAAAAAUCACACAGCUAGUAGAUUCCACAUUGUUUUCUUGAUAUAAACCUGCAAUUUUUCAGUUGAAAAAGACGACCUGCCAAACAUUUCCACAAUAUUGAUCGUCCAAUAUCUACAAACAGCACCAAAGGUUACUUCUUAUAGUAGUACCAAUCAGAUACAAAAUUAAGAAAAUAAUGUACUGGUAGAAAGAAAUUAAAAUGUUGUUUAGUUAUAUCCCACGCAUCAUCCAUUGUAAACAGGACAACUCAUGCUGCUCUAUGUUUCCCUGCAUGCAUACCAUCUAUUAGUGGUUGUAUAUUGUGUAGACUAAAGGACUUGUAGUUACUCUAUAUUUCCCUGCAUGCAUACCAUCUAUUAGUAUAUUGUGUAGACUAAAGGACUUGUAGUCGAAAUAAAAUCAAUCAAGCUUUUACAAGAAUGACAACGCUAAUGGAAUGUAACAGCUAGAACGAAUUCAUAUUUUCACUCAGGUGCAAAUGGAGAUUUAACUUAAAUACAUAAAGGGACUCGGCCAAUGAUUAUACACAGAAGAUAUUUUAAAAAUACAGAAGCCACUAAAAAUGCUAGUACAUAAAAGAUGUCCAUUCAAUUACUUACCCAUUGUCUUGAACCUCAUCAGAUUCCUUGGUGGGGCUAACGUUCUCCUUGGAAGCAUUCUCAGGUGCAUCCAUAGAGGUAAUGGUGGCCCUGUCCCCUGUUCUUCUGUAGUCCCAUGUUCACCAUUCUCCUGUAUUUUGCACUAUUUGUCAUGCAUUUAUAUAUGGUUUCAUCAUAUCUAACGCACGGAACAAAGACCUUACUCUCGCAACACAGAACUGAGACCUCACAAUCACAGUACAUUUAGAAUUUGGAUAACUGGACUUAUUUACUAUGUCCUCAAUUGAUGCCUCCUUUUGCUUAAAUAAAUAGGUUGCUACUUCAUUGUUUAGUGGUGUAGCCUUUUACAGAAUUUAAAUGGUUUGUCCCCUGUAUUAUCACAUCUUUCCAGACUAUUAAACAUAUGCAUGCUGAUAAAACAACAUUUAACCCGAGUUAUCUUUGUCAAUAUUUGCUUAAAUAAAUAUAUCUCUGUAUAGACCUCGAAAUUGGUAUACCUCAGUGGUUGAACUUGCAUAAUGUGAUACUAAUACUAAUGUCUUCUCCUACUUGGAAGAAAUGGAUUAUUAAUUAUCAUGCUUAUAUUUAUGUUGCAAGAAAUGUUUGCCAAGUUGAAUUUGAAUAAUCAAAUUUUACCUUCUUGGUUGAAUUGUUUCCUCCACAUUGUUGAUCAUGUUGAAGGCCAUUGCUAUGGAUUUGUUUUCAGGAGAAGUAUGUUGGCGCGACACGGGUGAAUGGCUAGCUGGAGGAAAUGUAUUUGCUACUAUUUUUGCUAUAUUCCUGUGUAAGGAAAUGUAUCCAUGAGAUGAGAUAUUGUGUUAUGUAAACCUGGGAGAUGUAUUAUGUGAUGUUAUAUGAUGGAUGAUUUUAAUUCGACUUGGAGUUUUCUUGAUUUGAAUAUGAAGUAGUGCUGCAUUUAAUAUUGGACAAAUAAUUGGUUGAAAAGGCCCAAUAAAUAGAAAUGAGACCAAGUUCUCAAAAAAAAAUGCUGAAUUCAAAAAUGAAAAAAGGCCAAAACUAAAACUGGAUCAAAUGUAUUUGGGCAUGAAAAGG